UACAAAAAGAAGCUUAAAAAAACCAGCUUAUUUUGAGAAACACGGGUGAACGGUAAACUCAUUAAUGAAUUUUUCAACACUACCCUCAUUUCUCAUGCCUUCCUUUCUCACGUUAUCGGACUCUCGCAUGCCACUCUCACAGAACCCUUGUAGAACCAGAUCUGAAAAAGGGUGUCUUCUCCCACCGAUCUCUCUCGUUCUCGACGUCGUGUUCUCCUGGCUUGGCCUCCUUCCUCUAGUGCAUAUUGAAUAUGAACACCCUUGAUGAUGAUGUUGUGGAUUUGGAGGAUGGUCUAAGUAUAUGUGAUGUAGCGAGAGAUAUUGAAACAUAUUAUUUAUAAUAUGUCCAUAAAACUCCGUGUAUAAGUUCUUCCCAAACAAGUAAUAUUUGGUUGAUGUAAGUACUACAAAGGAAUGAUGUGCGAUGCUAUAAAAUGUUUAGGAUGAAAAAAGAUGUUUUUUAUAGAUUACCCAAUGACUUGCAAACUAAUAUUGGGUUGAAAGGUUUAAGGAGAAUGAAUGCAACUGAAAUAUUAGGAAUGUUCUUGUACAUGUUCGAGCAUGCUGUGAAAUGGAUUAGCGCAAAAGAGAUUUCAGCAUUCCAAUGAGACUGUUAGUAGAUGUUUGGUGCUAUGUUGGAUAUUGUAUGUAAGAUGGCAACAAAUAUUAUCCAAUGUAGCGGCCUACGCAUUAGACAGUGAGUUGCUACCACGACUUGUCCUUAAUUAGUCCCAAAAUCAGAAAGCUUGUUAGGCAGCUUCUUGGGCAGAGUUAGGCAGGGUUAGGCGGGCCUAGACGAGGAUCUAUGGAGAGCUAUGCAGACCGAUCGGCUCUUUCGAAUAAGACGAUGGCUUGUAUGCAUGGUGUCUUUUUUGGCAAAAAUUGUCGGUUGCUGUUUGAGUUUUUUAUUGAAUCCUUUUGUUUUAAGGGUCCACCAUCUUCUUCAUUCUAUGUCUUUUCGUUUCUUUUUUUUAAUUGUUAAAUUUUCAUUUUUAUUAUUUGUUUUCUCUUUUAAGACCCCACUAUAUCUCACCAAUAAUAUCUAUUUUUUUUUUUUACAUUUUGUUUUGACUAUGUCUAUACUACAUAGUAAUAGUACACUUUUUUUGUCAAUUAAAAACUAAGAAACAUACAAGUAUAAUUUUUUUUUAAGUGUAAAUAGUUAUUUAUAUAUAUUUAUUUAAAUUCGUCUAGUAUGCCUAGACCUCGCAUAGGCGUUUAGGCAUUAGACCCCAGCCCGCUGCCCAACUAGCAUCUCACGUCUUUUAGAACAUUGAUUUGUCACACCGAUGGAUUUAGAGUUUUGUGCAUUCUCGAAGAAAAAGGAGAGAUACAAGAUACAUGCCUUAUUUUAAGGAUUGUAUUGGUGCUAGAUGAAGUACCUGUUGAUGCUUCAAUACGACCUCCGGCUUAAGUUCCAUAAAUUGGUAGGAAAAGAAGGCCGACUCAAAAGGUUAUGGCUGCAUGUAGUUUUGAUAUGCAAUUCACACUUGCUUGUGCCGGAUGGGAAAACACUGCACAUGAUACAAGAGUUUUUCUAUCCGUGCUACGGAAUCCAAAUUUAAAUUUCCCUAAGCCUCCAAAUGAUAAUCUUCAUACUUGUUAUUUUGCUGGAAUCUUCAUAUUUAUUAUAACAUUUUACGUACUCACUUUGUAUAAUUAUUACAUUAGAAAACAAAAUUUUUCAA
Long non-coding RNA from Pyrus x bretschneideri (Chinese white pear), 1688 nucleotides. RefSeq lists it as uncharacterized. The transcript is spliced from 3 exons. Lineage: Eukaryota; Viridiplantae; Streptophyta; Magnoliopsida; Rosales; Rosaceae. The record is from RefSeq and is a predicted model, not a curated record.